GAAGUGCGAACCAAGCGUGCGCCCCGGCGCUGUAAGACUUGGAGCGGACGAGCGCAAGCACGUCCUACA
Molecule: non-coding RNA, 69 nt
Filed under: unclassified sequences
Description: Transposase-2 RNA
Rfam family: Transposase-2 RNA
Source: Rfam by way of RNAcentral